GUCUGUAUGGUGUUUUAUAAAGUCUGGCCUGCCCACUGGUAUAAAACUAAAGGGCCGCGGUAUUUUAACCGUGCGAAGGUAGCAUAGUCAUUAGUCUUUUAAUUGGAGGCUUGUAUGAAGGGUUGAACAAGAAGUGAACUGUCUUGAAAAUAAAAUUUGAAUUUAACUUUUAAGUGAAAAGGCUUAAAUAUUUUAGAGGGACGAUAAGACCCUAUAAAGCUUAAUAAUUUUGUAUAUAGAUAAAUAAGUUGUUAGUAUUAUAUUGUCUAUUUAUUAAAUUAUUUCGUUGGGGCGACGAUAAUAUAAUUUGUAACUGUUUGAAAUAUUUAAUUCAGAAGUAUUUGUAUUUAAUGAUCCUUUUGUUGUUGAUUAAAAAUUUAAGUUACUUUAGGGAUAACAGCGUUAUUUAUUUUGAGAGUUCAUAUCGAUAAAAAAGUUUGCGACCUCGAUGUUGAAUUAAAAUUUCUCCAUGGUGCAGUAGUUAUGGAAU
This 490-nucleotide ribosomal RNA is filed under the name Metanephrops neptunus (Neptune lobster). Its description in RNAcentral is "partial 16S ribosomal RNA". It matches the Rfam family "Bacterial large subunit ribosomal RNA", at positions 1829 to 2570 of the family's 2925-position model. The record is from RNAcentral. Lineage: Eukaryota; Metazoa; Arthropoda; Malacostraca; Decapoda; Nephropidae.